GCCCAUCUCUCUGCUUUCAUCGUUAUGUGCGAGUGUUUCAUCGGCUGGCCCCCCCCCCAUUGGGGGGUGUUCAAACAUAUAUUAUCUACUAGAUCUCAGACUAUCAAACGACUCAGCCAGUCGGAUGAUAAAACGCAUCUUCUCCAACUCUGCGGAGGUUUAGGUUUCCAGAAAAAGAGUCGGAGUAGUUAUCCUGCUCUUCAGCUGAGCGAGUCGGUCAGGAACUGGCAGUCGACGUGGUUCUACUGCCAAGACGUUGCAUGUCUGAACGCCUCUUCAGGGUUGCCCCCUUUUAGCCUUGAUCGUCCCGCUCCACCUAAGCAGCUCGCGCUCACGAAGGCGGAG
This 345-nucleotide long non-coding RNA is filed under the name Hordeum vulgare. RNAcentral describes it as "long non-coding RNA (HVUL_LNC012942)". Lineage: Eukaryota; Viridiplantae; Streptophyta; Magnoliopsida; Poales; Poaceae. The record is from RNAcentral.